MicroRNA precursor from Medicago truncatula (barrel medic), 86 nucleotides. It matches the Rfam family "MIR2617 microRNA precursor family". Lineage: Eukaryota; Viridiplantae; Streptophyta; Magnoliopsida; Fabales; Fabaceae. The record is from Rfam.
UUGCAAUGUAGCAUGCCCGUUGUGAAAUUACUCUGAUGUAUUUAUGCUAUUUUACUGCUUUUGGGUAACGGGGUGUUACAACCGUA